UGUGGCUGGGUGGCUGUAGCUGCACCUGGGGAGCAUGAGGCUCCCACCCUGCCAGUUUGGAAGGGGGUGGGAUUCCACCGGUCCCUGCCUCCUGCCAGCUUUGUGGAGCACACGGCCCUGGCCACACCUCCCCAGCUGUAGCUGGCAUCAUGGCAGUGGCCGCUCCCAGACUGGCUGCCACUGCCAUCAAUUUGACCUUUCGUUAAGUACACCCCUUUCUCAUCUCCGUCUGCAUGCAUGAGUCCUGCAACAGAGGCAGCGGCCAGCGCACAUGCACACACACUCUUCACAGUAUCAAGAGGCUGCAGCGGUGCUUCUAGGCCAGUAGCACAUAAAAGAAACCUGAGGAGAUGGCCUGCUGCCUGGGGAUGAACGUCUCCAGGUGCCCGUGCAGCUGGCCACACCACACGGUGACGAAGGAGGUGGCAGAAUCCGCUGCAGGGAUGCGGUGACGAAGGAAGUGGCAGAGUCCGCUGCAGGAGGGGAGGCCGGUGCAGAAUUAAACAAUCUGGACCUUUCCAAGUUGGCCAAUAGGCUACUUGUGACUAUACCGGUGAUACCAUAAAGAACAGGCCAGGCGCAGUGGCUCACGCCUGUAAUCCCAGCACUUUGGGAGGCCGAGGCAGGCGGAUCACGAGGUCAAGAGACCGAGACCAUCCUGGCCAACACGGUGAAACCCCUCGUCUCUCCUAAAAAUACAAAAAUUAGCCGGGUGUGGUGGCUCACGCCUGUAGUCCCAGCUACUUGGGAGGCUGAGGCAGCAGAACUGCUUGAACCUGGGAGGCGGAGGCUGCAGUGAGCUGAGAUUGUGCCACUGCACUCCAGCCUGGCAACAGAGCAAGAGAAAAAAAAAAAAAAAGAACUGAAGAAGAACCAACUGCAGACGGUAAGGUGAUUUCCAUCUAAGAUAUAACUAGACCAACAGAAAAUAACUUAGUUGAAGGAACCGAAAGCCACAGAAGUAUAAUAUCAGCAAAAGGAGCUGAGGAGCUGCAGGAACCCUGGCUCGAUGGCCGGCCAGGACCCAGAAGGCCACAGCAAAUGAGAGGGGGAGACUCGAUAGCUCAUUUGGAAAAAGCGAUGGACUAGGAUGGGAAGCCGUGGCUCCUCGACCCUGCAGACCCUGGCACUGAGUGAUACCCGAGGCAACGCCAUAGCCGUGACGAGGUCAGAUGAAGACGUAGAACACCACAGAGGCUGCAAGAGUGUGGCCUUUCCCUGCAUUCUUCCUGCAACAUUUCUGUAAGCUUUUGAAGUUUUAUCAAAAAGUUACCAAAAAAUUUUUAAGUGCUAUAAUGAGUGACUUCUAAUUCCACAUAAAUCAUCCAACUUCCAUAAGCAACUAGAAAACCAGGACAAAUACCGUAAACAAUUGUUUUUGGACACUGGGUGCUGGGUGUCACGGGCUUGUGAUCCCUGAGAGAACGGAAAUAAACAGCUGCCCUGUGUCCGGCUUGCAGGUAGUUUCAGGCAGUCCCAGGCCACAGUGCAGAGACGGGGAGCCCAGCACUUUCAGGGAACAGGAGACAGAGACUGGGGCUCCAGGGAGGCUGAGGUGGUGACAAUUUGCAGGACAGAGCACUGGAGAGGGGAAAGCUUCCAAGGUCUGCAGGAGAGGCCCCUGGGGUCUUUGACUAAGUAUUCAUCUGCUCAAGGGUAGAGUGACAACCCAUGAGGCAGAGAAAAAACAGCGGGAAGGCGGUAGGCCAAAUGCCCAGAGCUCACAAAAGGGACUGAGAAGAGUUUACAGUCCCCAAAGAGA
RNAcentral lists this long non-coding RNA (1762 nucleotides) under Homo sapiens (human). RNAcentral describes it as "HSALNT0246127". The record is from RNAcentral. Lineage: Eukaryota; Metazoa; Chordata; Mammalia; Primates; Hominidae.